AUACGGAGGGUGCAAGCGUUAAUCGGAAUUACUGGGCGUAAAGCGUACGUAGGCGGCUAUUUAAGUUAGAUGUGAAAGCCCCGGGCUUAACCUGGGAACUGCAUUUAAAACUGGCGAACUAGAGUUGAGUAGAGGGGAGUGGAAUUUCAGGUGUAGCGGUGAAAUGCGUAGAGAUCUGAAGGAACACCAGUGGCGAAGGCGACUCCCUGGACUCGAACUGACGCUGAGGUACGAAAGCGUGGGUAGCAAACGGGAUUAGAAACCCUAGUAGUCC
This 274-nucleotide ribosomal RNA is filed under the name uncultured bacterium. RNAcentral describes it as "partial 16S ribosomal RNA". It matches the Rfam family "Bacterial small subunit ribosomal RNA", at positions 523 to 796 of the family's 1533-position model. The record is from RNAcentral.